AAAUUUAGGUUCAUAAAACCAAAGGCCUUCAAAGCCUUAAACAGGGCACCAACCCUAAUUUCUG
Molecule: transfer RNA, 64 nt
Filed under: Lygodactylus bivittis (tiny scaled gecko)
Lineage: Eukaryota; Metazoa; Chordata; Lepidosauria; Squamata; Gekkonidae
Description: tRNA-Trp
Source: RNAcentral